UCCCAGGUGGCUCAGUGGUAAAGAAUCUGCCUGCCAAGCAGGAGACAUGGGUUCAAUCCUUGGGUUGGGAA
This 71-nucleotide transfer RNA is filed under the name Bos taurus (domestic cattle). It matches the Rfam family "tRNA". Rfam says of the family: Transfer RNA (tRNA) molecules are approximately 80 nucleotides in length. Their secondary structure includes four short double-helical elements and three loops (D, anti-codon, and T loops). Further hydrogen bonds mediate the characteristic L-shaped molecular structure. tRNAs have two regions of fundamental functional importance: the anti-codon, which is responsible for specific mRNA codon recognition, and the 3' end, to which the tRNAs corresponding amino acid is attached (by aminoacyl-tRNA synthetases). tRNAs cope with the degeneracy of the genetic code in two manners: having more than one tRNA (with a specific anti-codon) for a particular amino acid; and 'wobble' base-pairing, i.e. permitting non-standard base-pairing at the 3rd anti-codon position. The record is from Rfam by way of RNAcentral. RNAcentral also lists the same sequence under 1 other name. Lineage: Eukaryota; Metazoa; Chordata; Mammalia; Artiodactyla; Bovidae.